Molecule: ribosomal RNA, 255 nt
Filed under: uncultured bacterium
Lineage: Bacteria
Description: partial 16S ribosomal RNA
Rfam family: Bacterial small subunit ribosomal RNA
Source: RNAcentral
UACGUAGGUGGCGAGCGUUGUCCGGAAUUACUGGGUGUAAAGCGCGUGUAGGCGGGAGGCCAAGUCUGUGGUGAAAUCGCUCGGCUUAACUGGGCGGGGUCCAUGGAAACUGGUCACCUGGAGGUCGGUAGAGGCAAGUGGAAUUCCCGGUGUAGUGGUGAAAUGCGUAGAGAUCGGGAGGAACACCAGUGGCGAAGGCGGCUUGCUGGGCCGGACCUGACGCUGAGACGGCGAAGGCGUGGGGAGCGAACGGGG